GCAGUGGGGAAUCUUCCGCAAUGGGCGAAAGCCUGACGGAGCAACGCCGCGUGAGUGAUGACGGCCUUCGGGUUGUAAAACUCUGUGAUCCGGGACGAAAAGGCAGAGUGCGAAGAACAAACUGCAUUGACGGUACCGGAAAAGCAAGCCACGGCUAACUACGUGCCAGCAGCCGCGGUAAUACGUAGGUGGCAAGCGUUGUCCGGAAUUAUUGGGCGUAAAGCGCGCGCAGGCGGGCGGACAAGUCCGUCUUAAAAGUGCGGGACUUAGCGACGGAAGCGGAAGGAAACUGGGAGGCUGGAGUAUCGGUUGCGAAAGUGGACGACGAAGUGUAGCGGUGAAAUGCGUAGAGACAAGGAAGAACACCGGUGGCGAAGGCGCCUUUCUAGACUAUUACUGACGAUGCGGCUCUACAGCGUUUGCAGAACACAGGAUUAUA
RNAcentral lists this ribosomal RNA (439 nucleotides) under Shewanella sp. M16. Its description in RNAcentral is "bacterial SSU rRNA". It matches the Rfam family "Bacterial small subunit ribosomal RNA", at positions 351 to 782 of the family's 1533-position model. The record is from RNAcentral. Lineage: Bacteria; Pseudomonadati; Pseudomonadota; Gammaproteobacteria; Alteromonadales; Shewanellaceae.